UGAAACCGUCAUAUUUCGUUUGUGGAUCUUGCUUCCCAUAGAAAUAUGCCAUGUUUUUUCAUCUAAAGCAGAGCCAGUGGUGCAAAAGAGGUUAGAUUUUGUUUUUAUUUGAAUUUAUGCUCGCUUUGUAAUUCCGUUUUCCUUUCUAAUUGGCAUCUGUUCGUGUGCCUACGGUUCGAUGUUGGUAUGAUAUUGUUAUUUGCAAAUGCACUGCAAGAAGGUGCAAUGAACAAAAUAUUUGUGAAUAUGCCAAAGCCUCAUGAUGUAUACUCAUGUGGUUUAUUAUGUCCUCAAAAAGCCUCCCUGGAACCUGGUCUGUUAGAUGAAUAUUUGAGAAGGGCAGUGAGAAUUGUUUGGUUGCAGUGCAUACCUAUAUAGUGUGUUGCCUUUGCUUAGGUUCCUUUUGUAAAGGAUUAAUUAAUUGAUCAAUUGGAAUUUUCAACUCUCGAAAGUCUGGCCAACCUAGAACCAGGUCCGUGAAAAGGUGGUAUAUCAAUUGGAAUUAUGAGUCCUUACCAUCUGAAGGGGACUUUCUUAGCCUUAAGUGGGUAUUGUGGUAUAUCUGAUAGACAUGUCUUGAAGAGUUGUAUUUUUUUUUCCUAUAUAGCUAUGCUGCAUAGCAAAACUGAAAUUUAUUAUGAGAGUUUCUUAUCGGAGAUGACCGCUAUAAGAAAGGCAGGUACGUUUGCAGACAGAUAAUAUGAUCGUUCACUCCACAAUGUUCUGUCUGCUUCUUUUUGGGGCAAAAUAAACUCAAACUCAAGUAUUUCCCUCGCUUGCUUUAUUGUGUUACAUGAUACGAUGAUGGAUACGUGCCAGUUCAUGUUUUACACACGACAGAUAAUCUGACCUUUGCUUAACCGGUUUCAAACAGAGAUGUAUAUGUGAUAUAGCACAAACAUGUGUUGUUUAUGCUGCUGGUUUUGAAGUUCAGUGCUUGGCUUUGGUCCAAGGUCUGGGUCAACCAUGGGUAGACUUUCUAUUUUAACUAAUUAUUUUCACCAUGUGAUUAAUGACACUAUUGAAUUUGUAAAAUACCAGAAAAGAAGUGAGCCAUUUAUUAUUUGCCAUGCUGAUAAAUUUAAACAUUUGCCAUGUCCCAAUACAUGAUGACAUGUAGUUGGAGAUUUAAAAAAAUAAUUUCAUUGGAAGUCUGAACAUGCUUUCAAUCAUAUUUCCAUCUUUCAGAUAUACUUUUUUAGAGAGUAAAACAACGACAAUACCAAAAGCAAUUCCCAGGAGUCUUAGUGCAGAAUUAUAGUUCACAGCUUUUGCCAAUUUUGUACCAAGUUCUGCUGUAAACUUAAAAACUAUACUCUGAGACAGUUCAGGUUUAACGCUAUUGUUACAUGAUACGACGGUAUGUUAUAUUCCUUUUGCAUGCACUACUAUACCAGAUAAUCCACACUUUUGGUUCAGCAGGUGCGGCAACAUCUCUUUUUUUGAACAAGUAUACUGUUAUCAUGGAGAAGGCACAGUAUCUUCAUGGAAUAACAAAAAGAUUACAGCAAGUAGGACCUUGGUGAAGUUAUCACAUCUGUGCUCCAGAUCAAGAUGCUGCCAUUGCGACUGAUGGACUUGACCAACCUCUAUGUUGUAUAUCAGUGUAGUAUUUUAUUUUUGUUAGAGACCCUUUCCAUGAACUAUAUUGUAAGUUGCUACAUUAUGUUGAAUUGUAGUAUGCCAGACUAUUGCUCUCUAUAACCUUAA
Molecule: long non-coding RNA, 1710 nt
Organism: Lolium rigidum
Lineage: Eukaryota; Viridiplantae; Streptophyta; Magnoliopsida; Poales; Poaceae
Exons: 2
Source: RefSeq, a predicted model, not a curated record